RNAcentral lists this ribosomal RNA (440 nucleotides) under uncultured bacterium. RNAcentral describes it as "partial 16S ribosomal RNA". It matches the Rfam family "Bacterial small subunit ribosomal RNA", at positions 338 to 795 of the family's 1533-position model. The record is from RNAcentral.
CCUACGGGAGGCAGCAGUGGGGAAUAUUGCACAAUGGGGGAAACCCUGAUGCAGCGACGCCGCGUGAGUGAUGAAGUAUCUCGGUUCGUAAAGCUCUAUCAGCAGGGAAGAAAAUGACGGUACCUGACUAGGAAGCCCCGGCUAACGACGUGCCAGCAGCCGCGGUAAUACGGAGGGGGCAAGCGUUAUCCGGAUUUACUGGGUGUAAAGGGAGCGUAGACGGCAGCACAAGUCUGGAGUGAACUCCCGGGGCUUAACCCCGGAAUUGCUUUUGAAACUGUGCGGCUGGAGUGCAUGAGGGGUAAGCGGAAUUCGUAGUGUAGCGGUGAAAUGCGUAGAUAUUAGGAGGAACACCGGUGGCGAAGGCGGCUUACUGGACUGUAACUGACGUUGAGGCUCGAAAGCGUGGGGAGCAAACAGGAUUAGAUACCCCUGUAGUC